GGGGAAGAUUACAGAGUAGGAUUAUAUAGGUUGUUACAACAAGUUAGGGGAAGAUUACAGAAUAGGAUUAUAUAGGUUGUUACAACAAGUUAGGGGAAGACUACAGAGUAGAUACAAUGCGUGGUAUACACAGAAAGAGUUAACGUAUCUACUUGCCGCCUAUCGUUUCACACCACACACACCAACGUGACAGGCACAAACUGAGCAAGCGAGCAAGGUUUUGAUGUGCGCUCCGUGUGCGUGUUCAGCUCAUCACAUGACGCUGCACCCAGCACUAGGCUCCUCCUCGUAGCACUGCGGCUGGUACGGAUUCCUGCCGUACCCUCCGACGUACGCCCCGUACGCGCCGUGGUCAUACACGGGCCCGCCGUAGUACCCGCCGGCAGGUGCCCCUCCGGCGUACCCGUGUCCGUAUGCGGGUGCGCUGUACCCCCACCCAGGGGCGGCCGGCCAGAUGGACGGCGUGGCCAUCGCCUGCG
This 479-nucleotide long non-coding RNA is filed under the name Triticum aestivum (bread wheat). RNAcentral's name for it is "long non-coding RNA (TAES_LNC002944)". Lineage: Eukaryota; Viridiplantae; Streptophyta; Magnoliopsida; Poales; Poaceae. The record is from RNAcentral.